UACGUAGGCAGCGAGCGUUGUUCGGAGUUACUGGGCGUAAAGCGCGUGUAGGCGGGCCGUUAAGUCGGGGGUGAAAGCCCAGAGCUCAACUCUGGAAUUGCCUUCGAUACUGGCGGCCUGGAGCAUGAUAGAGGCGAGUGGAAUUGCGAGUGUAGAGGUGAAAUUCGUAGAUAUUCGCAGGAACACCAGGGGCGAAGGCGACUCGCUGGAUCAUUGCUGACGCUGAGACGCGAAAGCGUGGGGAGCAAACAGG
Molecule: ribosomal RNA, 253 nt
Filed under: uncultured bacterium
Lineage: Bacteria
Description: partial 16S ribosomal RNA
Rfam family: Bacterial small subunit ribosomal RNA
Source: RNAcentral